CGGUGCGGCAGCGCCAUCUGGUGCCGAGUCCCUCGCUGCCCGCAGAGGGGGCGCGCGUUUCUUUCGGAACCUUCCAGAGUAAACGGGGCCCGGGUUUUCGUCUCUCCCGCCCUCGGGAAGGAGAGCCCGAGUCUCCGCCCUGCCGAGUUCCUGCGUUGGAGGGACACAGGGAGAAGACAACCAUCUGUGAACCAGGAAGAGAGCCCUCACCGAGAACCAAAUAUGCUGGUGCCUUGAUCUUGGACUUACCAGCCUCCAGAACUAGGCAACAAGCAAGGCAUAAUGUCUUUCAAGAGCACAGUGAUCAUUCACAGAACUGAAUAAUGAUUAACGAAAUGAUAUCCC
Molecule: long non-coding RNA, 345 nt
Organism: Physeter macrocephalus (sperm whale)
Lineage: Eukaryota; Metazoa; Chordata; Mammalia; Artiodactyla; Physeteridae
Exons: 3
Source: RefSeq, a predicted model, not a curated record